Molecule: long non-coding RNA, 386 nt
Filed under: Capsella rubella
Lineage: Eukaryota; Viridiplantae; Streptophyta; Magnoliopsida; Brassicales; Brassicaceae
Description: long non-coding RNA (CRUB_LNC003388)
Source: RNAcentral
UUUUUUAAUGAAGAUUAUUUUAAUGACGGAAACUCAGUUUUUUAAAGAUUCAACUAUAAAACUCUAUAAAAAUCUUUCUUACAGUUUUUUGUUUUUGUUUUGUCAAACUCUAUAAAUUUAAACAUCUUGAUGAACAGUCAAAAUUUAUGAACGUUUUUUUUAAAAAAAAAUAAUAACCUUUAAGACAUAUAUUAUUUGGUUGAUAAAAACAACCAAUUGCAAUGCAUGUGGCUGUAGGAGUAUAUGCAUAUUUAAAUCCCUCAUCCUCUUAUCUUAAAGAGAAAAAAAAAGUCUAUGGUGAAGUAAACAAAUCCAUUAAAAUCUUCGUAUAGAUUUCUUUUCAUUAUUUUUAUCCAUUACCAAAGUUUCUUUAAUCUCUUUCUUUC